Molecule: long non-coding RNA, 5697 nt
Filed under: Triticum aestivum (bread wheat)
Lineage: Eukaryota; Viridiplantae; Streptophyta; Magnoliopsida; Poales; Poaceae
Description: long non-coding RNA (TAES_LNC000078)
Source: RNAcentral
AAUAUUCUAUAAAUUCCCCUGAUCAUUGUCAUGUUGGAACCAACCUUAUUUGAAUUCCCAAAAUGCCCCUAGGAUUUAAUUUAGUGGUCCGGCAUCAAUUAAAUGGACCUUUUCAAUUUCUAAAAAUGGUUAGGUAACUCCUUUUGACCCCAAACUUUUUGUACCCCGCUGCCACAGCCGGACGCGCGCCGCCGCACCCCUCCUGCUCGCCUACUACCGCCGCUCGCCGCGCCGCCGCAUUCCCCUGCCGGGUUGCUACCGCCGGCCGCCUGUUGCCGGUUGCUUGCUCGAGCAGCCAUGGCCGAACGCCCCUAUACGUGCAUGCGUGUGCACACGGCUAAGCCUCUGGCCGGUUCUGUGCAAUUUAAUUAGGGGGCCAAUUCCCCUCUAAUGCUAACCCUCAUCACUAACCACCCAUGACAGAUGGCCCCCCUGGGUUAAGUAACCCUUUGAUUAAAAAUAUGAGUCAAUUACAUGUGGACCCCCACUGCUGUUAGUUAAGUGUUAAAAUUUAUUAAAAUUGCCUAAGUCGAUGACAGCCGGGUCCCACCUGAACUAUUCUCCUUUUGACUAGUCAAUGUUGACUGGGUCAGCCCUGCCACUGGACCCCCACCUGUCAGCCAUGGUGCCAACUUCCUGGGUACACUUCUGUGUACCCAUAGCAUUUACCCUUUUAUUUGUGAAUUAAUAUAUAAUUUCAGGAUAUUGUUUAAAACUUUAGAAAUUCAUAGAUAUUAAUCCGUAACUCAUAUGAAAAAGUUUUAUACAUGAAAGUUGCUUAGAAAAAUAUGACGAAUCCGAAUGCGCGGUCCGUUCGUCCGCCACAUGUCCCUAGAAUAGGAAACAUCGAACCUUUCCCCUCCGUUUCAUUUGUCCGAAAAUGCCAAACUUCAGGGAAACAUCCCCGGAUAUUAUCCCCUUCGCCGGUUUCAUGUAGCACUGCGUUAGAACACCCCUAGCACUACUUAUCAUCUUGUCAUGCUUAGUAUUGCACUUGUUUGCUCUGUAUUUAUUGUUUCUUCCCCCUCUUCUCUCCGGUAGACCUCAAGACCGCUCCUGAUGCCACUGUGAUCGACUACGUCGACGACGACCCUUCUUCCCUUUCAACGGAGCUUCCAGGCAAGCCCCCCCUUUGAUCAUCCCGAUAUCCCCCAUCCCAUUCUCCCAUGCUUGCAUUAGGUUUUGCUACUGUAAUUGAUUGCUCCUAUUCUGAUGCAUAGCCUGCUUUUGUAACCUGCUAUUGUACCUUACCUGCUUAUCCUAAACUGCCUAGUAUAGGUUGGUUAGUGAUCCAUCAGUGACCCCCAUCUUGUCCUUGUUGCCCUGCUUCAUCAUCGACGACUCGAUCAACGUGAUAGAUGACCAGACCCGACACAUCACAUCACACCCCUUUUGUUGCUCGACUCUGCAGAGUAACCAUCGAGUGCCGAGGGUGGUACCUCAUACAUCACUCCUGAUGAGAUCUCUGUAGUGUAGCUAUUCGGUCAUGGUCAUCGAGGGUGAUUCCUCAUUAACCAUUUCCGAUACGACUCUGUCGUGCAACCCCUCAAGUGUGAACCUCGAGGGUGGUUCCUCUUACGUUCACCUUGAUGAUUACAUCGAGUGGAAUCCAUCGAGGGUGAUUCCUCAUUUCCCCUUGAUGUUUGGACACACGGUUACCUUGACUUUACUUGAGACCUUUGUGAAACUCGGGCGGGCCCGGAGAGCACCCGCAAGAUGGUUACGAGGCACGGCCGGGCAGGCAGGCCGCCCCCAAGUGGGCUGGGCUAGCCCUUGCCGUAUUUCCUCGAGACGGGGCGACGGGGUCACAUUAUCGUGAGUCUCUGCUCGUCUCCGCAAGCUAAUAAUACACUAUGGUUUGGGUAUUUGUUCUGAGUUGGCCUUUGGCCUUUACGCACUAACCACCACACGAGAAUAGUUAUGGGCCUCGACGACGCAAUAUCAGCCGAAGCUUUGUUAGACAUCCAGUUCAGCAUUGCGGCACGGCUGGGCUGGCACCAUCCAUGUAGAGGUGGAGCCUGGACUCGCCCUGCUCGCAACGACCCGGAGUGCAACGGGCGAUGCGCCCAGACCCCGGAGUGCUUAGGAUGUAGACCGGCGGGGACCUCUCUGCUGAGCCUAGGUAGGGCUACGACGUGUUGAUUUUUCGAGGCCGGGCAUGGACCCAGAAAUAAAGUGUAUCCGGCCAGAGUAAUCAAGCGUAUUGGAAAACAUGGUGCACCCCUGCAGGGAAGAUUAUCUAUUAAUAGCCGUGUCCAUGGUAACGGACGUUCAGACUUAUAUCUCGAUCUUUUACAAGUAGAAAUGGAUACUUGAGAUAUGUGGCUCCGGGGUUGCUUUCUCGCAGGGAGUCGAGGAAGGAUCUCUGGGCAUUAAGCUUAAAACAUGCUUGUUAAUUAUAAACUGCUAUUCUUUACUCUUCUACAUGCUGCAAGAUGCUUGGAGCUGGUUGAAGAUGCUAGUUUUUGAUAGGCUAGGCCUUCCCCUCUAUUCUGGCAUUCUGCAGUUUAGUCCACAGAUACAACCCUUCUAGUUGAUACCAAUGCAUACUUAGUCUAGAUCUGAUGCUUGCGAGUACUUUGGAUGAGUACUCACGGUUGCUUUGCUACCCAUUUUCCCCCUUCUUCCUUCUUUCCGGUUGCUGCAACCAGAUGGUGGAUCCCUGGGAUCAAGGAGUAGUUAGGAGAUCCCAGGCAGGAGGCCUUGCCUCUUCGAUCGUUGUUGCUUUUGUGCUUGCCUUCUUAAGGCAGCUUUGUUUAACCUUAUGUCUGUACUCAGAUAUUGUUGCUUCCUCUGACUCUUGUGUAUCGAGCUUGUAUUAGAGCCCUCGAGUCCCCUAUCUUGUUUUAUAAAGCUUGUAUUAUUUUAAUUGGUGUCUAGAGUUGUGUUGUGAUAUCUUCCCGUGAGUCCCUGAUCUUGAUCGUACACAUUUGCAUGUAUGAUUAGUGUACGGUCGAAUCGGGGGCGUCACAAGUUGGUAUCAGAGCCGACUGCCUGUAGGAUCCCCCUUUCCAACUCCUUGGCCGAAGUUGAGUCUAGUCUUUGGAAAACUGUUUUACUAACAUGGUUGUGUGGCUUACUGGCCCACGUCGCCAUUGGGUGGUAUUAGGAUCUUUUAAUCCUCAUCUAUACUCUAGGAUUCUGAUCCCUCUUCUAUUCGGGUUAAAUGGAUUUGCUAACUCUAACUCUAGGUUCUCGUGAAUACUUUCUUCCGGAGAGCCCCUUCAUUCUAGAUGAUCGCCUGUUUCACCUGAAGAUUCUGAAGAUACUCUCCGAUGUUUUCCCGAGACUUUUGUGCCCUUCGCUUUUGCAAUUCUCUACCACUGACAAGUCCCUAUGGAUAACUACAUACACCUUCCAUUCAUAUAAUCAUUCCCCGUUUAUCUUAUUAUUACAAGAUACCCUAACAUUCUCCUUAUUGUUCCGAGAAUCCUUUGAACCUACUGCCUUGCAGUUCUUUGCCACAUGAAUACCCCUACGGAUAAUUACUCGCGCUUGCCGAGUAUCCGUUCAUCCACAGAUCAUGUGUUUCACAAAAUUCUUUGGAAUACUAUCCGAUCUUCCGAUGAUCCUCUCCAACUAUUGCUCUGCAAAUACUUGUAUGCUUGCAUUAUGGAUACUUUCCAUAUGUCUGGCAAUAUUCGGUAGUAUCCUUUCUCAUCUUUAUUUUUAACAUCUGAUUUGAUAUGUUUGUAAAUGCUCGCAAUCAUCAAUCACAAUUAGAAUUCUUCCCAUCAGCUCAGACGUCACCCCGGACAUGAGCUGGUGUUCAACAAAUCAAGCCUUGAUUAUUCAACUUACUUGUCUUGGAUCAGAGCCUCUGCUUCUGAUCCACCGUUUUGGAAAUAAUAAUUCCUUUGCAUUUGAGCUUUGAAUUAGUCAGUUGUUUCUAUAAUCUGAUAUCCUUGCAUUCUUUCUUCUUCUUGGUCAGUACCGAUACUCACAUCAAAUCCCUUGUGGACCACAAGUUCCCUUGUUGGAUUUUAUCCGAUAACGUCCUUCAUAUUCAAUCACCUUGUGAGCUUUUCCUUGGAUACAUAAUGCCUUUGGUAAAUUGUAUCUUCUGCCUCCUCAAUCAUGCUCUACUCUGAGCUUGAGUUAUCUAAUCAUGAAGUUUGACUCUACAACUUCGUCAAAGAUGAGAAGUAAAUGGAAGGUCAUGCAUUGAUGAAGUGGGAGUCGACCUUGAACCUUUAUGUUCAUGCCCAUGGACCCGAUGUGGAACUUAUCAUGGAAGCUUCUUGGUAUAAUAUUAAUCCCCUUGUGAUAAGUUCAUCUUGUAUCUAUGUUUGGUCCUUUGCAACCGUGGUUCCGACCAUAUUGUUCUUCUUUGAUCCCCUUUCUCGGACAAGUUAAAGUACUUGUCUUCUGCAGAUCUUUUCACCUGCCCAACCUCUAUUCUUCUCUACCCUCGAGUAUUACCCUCUAGUAUCUCGAUAAUAUCAUGAAACCAAAUAACUUCUUAUGAGUUCUUCAUCUACUAUUAUUUCUCGACAAUUCCAAUUCUCCAUGGGUUCUGAGUUGUUAGACACUCCAGAACACCGAUAAUUGUUUGAAUCUACACUCGUCUUUCCAUUGUUUUGUGUAACCUUCUUGUAACCUAACAUAUCUGAGCAGUGAUAAUUCCUUGCUUAUGUAAACACCUCUGUGUACAAACUCUGUCAGUAAGACCUUAUUACUAUUGUUGAUGACAUUCCGGUAGCCACCGAUGGAUGAGAACUUUGCCUAUUGGCCCGCCUCGUUCAACGAGUAGCAAAAUGGUUCUCUUUGUCCCUCGCCCUUGGUACCAACGUUGUUGCCAACAUAACUGACAGUCUAUGCUCUGACAUGCCUUGCUAUCAUCGCUUUUCCUACUUUUAGCCCACAUGGUGGGCCCAUAACCCACAGUUCCACAUGAUCGAAACCUGACUCUCCUGUACAUCCCUAUCUUCCAAAAUUGUUCCUCACGCUUGGUUUCGUAUGUAAUUCACGAGCCACCUUCUUGUGAUAUAUUCUGAUACCAGAUGCAAUAGUUCUUCUCGAUGCUCUAAACCCCUUUCACACUCUGUUUCAGGCAACGAACGAUUGCCUUCCCGGUUGAAGCUUCUUAUUGCACCUUCUUGCCUUGCUCUCGAUGACUUUCUUAAAUUUCAACUCAAGAGAUGCCUUUAUGCCACGUUCACCGAGAUAGUCCCCAGGUACCUACUUGUGUUGAGCUCUGUCUUUCCCGAGUCUUUCCCCCUUACUCCACCCCUUAAAUCUCGGGACGAGACUUCUUGUAGUGGAGGAGAAUUGUAACGCCCAGAUACUUAAGCUACAGUAACUCUCUACUAAUGAUGCCACGUCAUCACAUUACUGUUGCUAUUCCUCAUUUGAUUCAAAUCACUAUUCAAAUUCAAAUUCAAACUUGUCAAACAUCAAAGCUAAAAUGUUCACAAUAUUCUAUAAAUUCCCUUGAUCAUUGUCAUGUUGGAACCAACCUUAUUUGACUUCCCAAAAUGCCCCUGGGAUUUAAUUUAGUGGUCCAGCAUCAAUUAAAUGGACCUUUUCAAUUUCUAAAAAAUGUUAGGUAACUCCUUUUGACCCCAAACUUUUUGUGCCACCGUAAAAUUUUGUGCUUGAUUUAUGUGCCAAGUUUCAGUUAUAGAAAAAAUCGUUUGCUACAUGAUCUAAAUGCAAAAGAGUGGUGGAAAUAUUACAUGAAAUAAAAAGGAAAAA